This 634-nucleotide long non-coding RNA is filed under the name Zonotrichia albicollis (white-throated sparrow). Its description in RNAcentral is "lncRNA (ENSZALG00000013993.1)". The record is from RNAcentral. Lineage: Eukaryota; Metazoa; Chordata; Aves; Passeriformes; Passerellidae.
CCGGGCUCCGUGCCUGCCCCUGGGCUGCUCCGCACCUGGCGCUGGGGGCGUAGCGGGAGUGGUCCCGGAGCGGGCGCAGCGCGGGCUGCUCUGGAGCAUCGCUCUGCCCAGGCGCCGUACCCUGCGGAGCCUCGCAGUAUUACUCCAGGAGCCGCCGUAUCGUCGGGCAGCUCUUCCCUGGUGGUAUUUGUAAGCUCGUAUGAAGGAUGUUGAAGAGACUGUCUCACAUAAAGAUCUUGAAAGGCUGCAGGGACUUCUUUGCCAGUGAGAACUAAAGCAUGACUGCUAUCCAGGAAGUGAGUGGUAAGUCUUAAUGAUAAGGAAAUGUACGUCAACCUGAAGUGGGCAUUAAACAUUCUUGUCAAACUCUAAAGCAUGAAUUAACAAGAAAUACUUGCUUCUCAGUAGUGUAUCUGACUUCAAUUUUGUUUUAAAUGCAGGUGAAUCAGCUCUGUUUUCUUACUGAACUUCAGUUUUUAGUGUUAGUACUGUGGAAGUUUUAUGAAAACUGUAUGCUUUUCCCAGUGUUUUUCUAUUAAAAAUUUAUUCAUGAAUUUUUAAUUUUCAACAGGAUAUUUUUGGCUGAACUAUUUAGCUUUCUACUGUCACUAAAUAAAAGUGUAAUUAUUAAUCA